AGAAGGCAUGCGGUGCUCUUUAUUUCCUCGCUCAGGGUUACGAGGAUGUAGCACAUUUUGCAUCACCAUUAUCCCCUUUCUUCCAUGAUAUUGUUCAGGCUCUUCUUAAUGUGACCCAUAGGGAAGACGCAGGAGAGUCCCACCUGCGUAUCGCAGCAUAUGAGUCUCUGAAUGAGGUAGUAAGGAGUUCGACUGACGAGACAAUGCCUAUUGUGGUGCAAUUGAUCCCGGUGAUCAUGAUGGAGCUCCA
RNAcentral lists this unclassified non-coding RNA (250 nucleotides) under Hevea brasiliensis (rubber tree). The record is from RNAcentral. Lineage: Eukaryota; Viridiplantae; Streptophyta; Magnoliopsida; Malpighiales; Euphorbiaceae.